Molecule: long non-coding RNA, 199 nt
Filed under: Brachypodium distachyon (stiff brome)
Lineage: Eukaryota; Viridiplantae; Streptophyta; Magnoliopsida; Poales; Poaceae
Description: long non-coding RNA (BDIS_LNC005794)
Source: RNAcentral
GCCGGCUCAACAACAGCGUCAGAACCUGUUUUUUUUAUUUUAGAAAAAGCCAUCAUGGUAGCUUACAUUGUUCACAAGAAGAUUAAUUGGUUUUUUUUUCGAAAAGAAGGAAUACCUCCGGCCUCUGCAUCGAUCGAUGCACACAGCCAUAUAUUAUUAAAAUCAUCCGACAUCCAAAAACAUCCAAAAUACAAGUAGC